GUGGGGAAUAUUGGACAAUGGGCGAAAGCCUGAUCCAGCAAUGCCGCGUGAGUGAUGAAGGCCCUAGGGUUGUAAAGCUCUUUUACCAGGGAUGAUAAUGACAGUACCUGGAGAAUAAGCUCCGGCUAACUCCGUGCCAGCAGCCGCGGUAAUACGGAGGGAGCUAGCGUUGUUCGGAAUUACUGGGCGUAAAGCGCGCGUAGGCGGUUUUUUAAGUCAGAGGUGAAAGCCCGGGGCUCAACCCCGGAAUUGCCUUUGAAACUGGAAAACUUGAAUCUUGGAGAGGUCAGUGGAAUUCCGAGUGUAGAGGUGAAAUUCGUAGAUAUUCGGAAGAACACCAGUGGCGAAGGCGACUGACUGGACAAGUAUUGACGCUGAGGUGCGAAAGCGUGGGGAGCAAACAGGAUUAGAUACCCUAGUAGUCC
RNAcentral lists this ribosomal RNA (425 nucleotides) under uncultured bacterium. RNAcentral's name for it is "bacterial SSU rRNA". It matches the Rfam family "Bacterial small subunit ribosomal RNA", at positions 354 to 796 of the family's 1533-position model. The record is from RNAcentral.